Xyrichtys novacula (pearly razorfish) is the source of this 6981-nucleotide non-coding RNA. The record is from the annotation of a GenBank genome assembly. Lineage: Eukaryota; Metazoa; Chordata; Actinopteri; Labriformes; Labridae.
CCUCUCUAGACUGUUUCAGCUUUGAUUCACUUGUCAAUCCGGAGUGUUUACAGCGCCAUUGGGAGCAUCAUGUAAAUGUUUUGUGGUCUUGUUAUUGUGGUUUACUGAUUUGCCAACUCAAGCAACGUUUUGAUUUGCUGAUAGAGCAAAAUGUGAAGAGCAGAGUUUGUCACAAGUCAUCCAAAAAAGAAAAAAAAAAAGAAAUCAGUCGUCCUCAAGGUAUUCAGAAAGAGCAAAGAUUUACAUAAAUUCAAAGGUUCAGUGGUUACUUUAUUUGUACCCUCGGGUAAAUUUUGUUUGCAGUGAAUCACAUGUAUGACAGUAGACGAACAAACAGCACAGUACAUGCAACAGGACAUACAUAUAAAGUGACAGCAGUGCUCAGGAAUAAGAGAUUAAAAUGAAUCGAAUAAGACCAAAUAAAACUCAAUGAAACCAAAUAAAAACCAACAGCUCUCAAGGUUUCUUCCCCGUGUUAAUGUGCUCGAUGUCUGAUGGAAUAAAACCAUUUUUGUACCGCUUGGUUUUACAGGCUGGUACUUUCAUAACAAAAUAAAAAACAAACAAACAAACAAACAAACAAACAAAAAAGAAGUUGACAUCGCCUGAAUCUUUUCUUUGCAUGCUGAAUGCAUGAGCAAAAUCUCACAGGGACCCUUUAGUCGUCAAGACAACAGGUUGGACCUGAGGUUUAAUUCUGUACACACAGAGAAGUUCAGUCCAUCUAUCCAUCACAUCAGCUCUACCAUGUCGAUCUAAAAUGACUCACAGGUUGAGCCUGACUCGGCUGUCGCUCCUCCUCUCUGACAGUAGCAUGAAGUGGCAAACAGGGGUCUGCAAUCAUGUGUGAAGCGUUCAUGUUUUUUCUUACCAAGCUUUUAGUUUUGUGCAUCUGUCAAACCAGAAGAGGGCAACAGACGCUAACAGGUUGUGCUCGUCGUGGAGUGGAGGAGAAGAUGAGAGUUGGUGUCGAGAAAGGAGUUUCUGCGAACCACUGUUGGCAUGGUACAUAAUAAUUACUCCAAUAACUCAUGAGCAAAGUUAGUUAUCUGUUUCAAGUGUGCACCGUCUAUUCUUCAGUCUCCCACCAUUCAUCCUCCUCUUCCUCCCCAGCUUCAUCCGUUCUCCCCAUUAAUUCCUCUUACACCCCUGUAUUACCCUUUUCUUCACACCUCUCCGUCACUAGCUUUCUAUCUCCCCACCUUCAACCACAUUCGCCUCCUUCCCUCCUCUGAUUCAGCAGUGGCCCUUUGGCUGUGUUGCAGGAAGACGAGUUUAUCACCAUCAUUAUCACCAUGUUAAUUCCAGAGCCUUAUCUUCUUAAAUAAAGUGUGUGCUUUUGUCUCUUUGUGCUGACAUCCUCAGGCUCCACUUGAAUGUAGCUUAUUUCGCUCUUGCUCCAUUUAGCAUCAAAAUGAACCGUUUUUUUGGGGGGGGGACUAGCACUAGCGUAGCUUGCAUCAGCUCGGUGCAAGCUAAUAGGGGUAUCAGCAGUUGCCUGCAUCUGAGAACAUCAAAGCGAGCAAUUCCCUCUGAACACAGAAUCUGAGUGCACACAGCGGGCACGCAUGCACAAACACACGCUCGGGCUCACACGUACACACAUGCAUACGCAGACUUGUGCACAGACGGGUGCAUUCAGCGGGCAUGAGGGAAGGGGUGGCUUGUUUUCACACUGCAUUUCCAUAUAUGUUAAUAACAUUCUUGUUAUUGUGCAGAAACAGCCGGCAGGGUGAUGAAGUGAUGAGCUGUCCUGGCUGCGAGGAAGAGGACAGACAGGCUGUGGAAACAGUCUGUGGGAGUUUUUCCUUUUUUUUUUUUCAAGGUGUUAUUGCUCCAAAACACACAGGCUAACAGUACACAAACAGAGAACACACAUGCGCACUCACAUACACACACAAUUGAUUUCCCGCUAUUGUUCGUGUUCGUGCGGAUAUGAAUGAUGUGUGUGAUGUGGGGCAUGUUGAGGCGAAUCAUUGAUGUUUCUGCUAACACCACAUGAUUACCCGAGAACGGCUUCAUUUGAUGGCUCUGCUGAAAAACCUGCAUGAGAACUGGGUCAUGAAAUUUCAGACGUUCAAACAAUCAUACUCCAAAGCUGGAUGAAUGCCUUUUUUUUAUUUUUAUUUGGAGCAAGCACAGCUUUUGACCGGCUAACUGAUCUACUAUCAGCUGUGACUGGAGUAAUCGCUGCUCCUUUAUCUGCACACCGCCAUGACAAACCAAACACACUGGGGCUAUCAAAGCGCUGUAAUCAUGUUUGGUUAGGAUGCUUUUUUUUUGCCCAUUUGUUGUAUAAUUUGAUUUUCUCGGUGAGUGGCCGCUGAGUGCUUCUCAUUAUCAUCUGAAUGAUUCAUAAUGAAUUAUGUUUGUAAUUUCUUUUGUGUUAUCGAGUCUCUUUCAUGUCAUGAAACAAAUGCAGAGGCUAAUAUCUUUUACAGAUAUUGUAAUGCCAGCACUGACCCCCAUCUCCUCAUUAUUCUCACACUUCACCAAGUCAGUUCCAGUCGGGUGGAGCUGGUGCGGCUGGUAGGGAGGAAGAAAGCAGCCUUAAAAGAGUCUAAUCCUCAUCUUUGUGAGACAUUUUUCAUCUUUUGAUAUUUUAUGCUGUAAUAAGUAACACUGUGCAUUUUGUGCGCAAGGAGACACUGAAAAAUUCAAGUACAAAUUGCCAAGUGCCGCAAGUGAGAGAGUAGCUAUUAGUCUUUUUUAUUCAAUCAUUAACUUCAUCGUUUUUUUCCUGCAGGGGCAGCUGAAGUUCACCUUAGACUGACGAAACGUACAGCCUCCACCUUACUGCCCUCGUGUCUUCACCCUCUGUCUCGUCCAAAUUUAGCCCUCUCCUUCCACUAUAGCCUGCUGCGCCCUUCUAUCAAUUAUUGAGACAGAAAUGUGAGAAUUCAUGGACUCUCAGGAAGUAUGACGCUUGCUGUCGAUUGCAGUGUUUGUUUUUUCUGUUUUUCCAGCUCACUUCAUUCUUGCUGCAAUGAAUAUCUGACUGUGCUGGUGAAGACUGAUGUAAUGUGUGGGGUUAUUGUCGUCAUACAUAUUAAAAGAUAACUGAGUUUGUACCGGUCAAGUUUGUGCUGGACUUUGCUGUAUUUUUGCUCCAGGAUUUCAGUGAAUACUCUAUUUAGGCUGAUGGCUGAGGUGUGUCGAAAUCAUGUAAAAAAGUCAAGUCAAAAAAGUCAAGGUCAAAAGUCAAAUUGUAUACAAUAUACAUAUUAGGGAAUCCAUUAGGUAGUGGCUCUUUUUAUGGCCGUGGUUAAGAGAGACAAAUGAAAUGAAGACAUGUACUUGUUUUAUAGAAAUAGUGUGAUGUUAUUGUCAGAGUUUCUCCAAUGCUGGACCUCCAAAGGGAGAGUGAUUGAAGUAUGUGGCCCCCUCUGGAGCCCAGGGGCCUCAUUUAUCAACCGUGCGUAAAAAAGAUUCUAAAUUCUGGCGUAGGAAUGGAAUCUUGAGUGUGCGUAAGUACAAAAAAAUCUGUAUUUAUCAAACAUUCGUACACUGGUCGUACGCACACACUGUAAUCGGUGAUAAUAAAUCCCACCUGAUCUUUACUACCAUUCUUGUGCAUGGUCAGGGUCAUUUGCAUUCAGACCAUAUAUGGUAUCGACAAUCCCUUUAAAAAUGCGUGAAUGAAUUUUUUCCCCCUCGACGAAAUCAUGGAGGUGUACAUUCAUAGAGCUGUUCUGCAGAAUGAAGGAGUCGUGUAUAACAGAUACAAAUGUGCAUCGCAGAUUAUUUGUGCAUUGAUUGAAUGAAAUCCUUUCCUGUUGACAAAACUGAAUUCAUUGUGUACAAUGUGGGUGCAUUCUACGGCUCCACUUACCUUUGGGAAUCCGGCGAUGGCGUGAAAUCCUCGUUUUAUUUCGGCUUGUUGGUGAUGUGCGUUUGGGAACUGGAUGUAAAUUGAGGCCAGAGAAAUUAUUGCAUCCAACUCUGCCGGCAUGAUUCUGCUUAGCGUUGGCUGCGAAAUGCCGUAUAUGUCUCCAAUCUCACGCUGAAAUGGUCCGGUGGCCAAAAAUCCCAGAGUGGACAGGAGCUGGAUGUGCACUGGGAUGGCGUUUGUGCGUUUUGUCUCUCACUCCACCACGGGUUGUAAAUCACGGCAUAGAUCCAUUAAAACAUUUUGGGGAAGCGGUACCUGCUGAGAGUCCACUCUGUGUUCUCACUGAACAGGUCAGCACGAUCUUUAAAAACACACUCGGUUCUCCAAGUCCUCCAAUAGUGAAUAAGCCAUGGUACUUGUAUUUGUACCUGUAAGACUUCUUCUGAGGUCGUCCUAUCGCGGCUGAUUUUUAUAGCUUGUCACACCAAUCAUUCAAAAAUACAGCUAAAUAACUAACUAAUAAAUUUUUAUUGAUUAGAGCAGGGGUGGACAACCAUAAGUCUCUGCUCUCUGCUUGGAGGUGAGGUAAUCAGUGAAAUCACCUGGUGGAGUUUUGGGUUGGAAACAAAACCUGCAUCCCCUCGGCUCUCCAUGGCACACGGUUGUCUACCCCUGAAUUAGAGUAAACGGGGAACAUGUGUGAAGUGUGAGAUUGCUGAACGCUAUGACUCCUUUAAUGGGUUCUAUUUGUAGUUUCACCGUUCUACCACUAGAGUUUGUGUGAAAGCAUGGUCAGAGUUGUGCUUAAAUUCACGCAUGUUCCUAAGCACAAGUACAGGUUGAUAAAUUCCAGACUUUACGUGGGAAUGUUCGUCCACACUCAUUGCGCACGCAUCUGUACGUAUGCACGGUUGAUAAAUGAGGCCCCAGGAGGUGACAGAAUUAUUGACUGAUGAGACGAUAGAGCUCGACAAAAUUGUGAAGACUUUGUGUUGACAGCAUGAAAACCAUGAAUAACCUGGAGGAAGAGAAAAACAAAAAGACAGUAAUACAGCACAGUUAAGUCAGAGAUCAGUCAGGUGGUUCAAUGGGACUUCUGCCCUUGACUCAGUUUAUGUGCACCGGCUAGAAUAUAACUAUAGUGUGGUUAACAGGGAUGAGAAGAUAAGAUGUAGAUAGGUGAAGUGAACUACUGAAAGGUCAAAGGUUACAUGUCUGUAUUCAGGAUAGAGCUGAGCUUGAGGAAAAAGCCAAGGGAUAAUCUCCUAAUUUCUAUGAAGUAAGAAUGUACUCCUCUAUUGAAUGUUGAGCUGUUUGGGGGCCUGGUGAAGUUUUGCUGUAUGUAGUUUUCUAUAUGAUUGGGAGAAGACCCUUAACAAGCUGGAGGGAGCAGACUGCACUCCAGCUGACCUGGAAACGCCUCAGGAUCCCUCAGGAGGAGCUGGAGGCUGUGACUGGAGAGAGGUCUGGACUACACUGAUGAGGUUGUAUACAUAAUGGAUGGAUGGAUGGAUGAUGUGCCAAUACAACAGCGACACAUCAUCAUCAUUUCAUUAAUUUUUCAAACAUUUAAAAACUAAUUUCACAGCACUCCCAGAGGGCUGAAAGAGGACAACUAAAACCCUGGAGUGCCGUUAAAUCACCUGAGCUACCAGUCUCCAUAUAACAGAGAUAAACUGAGCUGAGAUGCCUGUGGAGGGACUUCACGGUGCCACCAUGAUACACCUUUAAUAGGUUUCAGCCAACAGCAGAGCAGAACUGAUGCAGCUAGGGUGGCCAUACAGUCCGGAAUUUAAAUGCCUUAAAUAGCCGGACGGUUAUUUGUCCCCCAAAUUGGCAGGAAACAGACCACAGAAAGUCAAAACAACCUGUUGUGAGCAUGUUGUUUCCUCUAUACUGAGCUCAGCUGACCGGGGCUGCACUCUGCUGCUGCUACACUCCAAAUACUCGACGAAGCAGAUAUGCAAUGCUGACGGAACGCGUAAUACGGAUCCUGUAUGUCUUAGUCUUUAGUCAAUUAAAAAGUAGAAAACUACACUGCACUGAAAAUACCAGGCUGGCCUCAAACCAAAAGAAGAGCUGUGAAACCAGAACUUGGAGUUGAAGGACGCUUUAAAGCCCAGCAGAUGUGGAUGAUAAUUCUCUAAGGAUUCAUCAUAAUAAGCAAUCCUUUUCCCUUCACAGGCUGAUUAGAAACAUGGUGGAGGAAGAUCUGUGCAGCUUUUAUUUUAGCUUUUUAUUUGUGAAUACCGCAGCACUGCCCUUCCAAAAGUUUGCCAAGGUCUUUGAAGAGCGGAGAUCUUCACAUCUUCUCCAUGUUUCUCCUUCAUGACACGAGCACAGCCCAAACAGCUCAGCGGGGUUCUCUCUUUUUUUAAACUGAUUUAAAAAUUGGGCUAGUAUCUCUGGGACCGUCAGGAGUUUAUUCUCUGUGUUAGGGAUUCUGCUGCUUCUGUUUUAUUGAUUACCUACACUGACUCCUCUUCUUUACAGCUCAAUUUAAGGCCCAUACUGUUGAAGCUGCAUGAAUAAUGCAGCCGAUAGAUAGAUAGAUAGAUAGAUAGAUAGAUAGAUAGAUAGAUAGAUAGAUAGAUAGAUAGAUAGAUAGAUAGAUAGAUAGAUAGAUAGAUAGAUAGAUAGAUAGACUUGUAAAUUAUCAUCUGAAGAAAAAACAACCUCAGACUUAAAUUUAAUAAUUAAAAUUCUUUUUCAGCUUUAGUAAUAUGAGGCAAAAACUUGACGUCAAAUCCUUGACGUCAAAUGAAAUAACUGAAUGAUUCACUUUGAAACUGACCCUGUCUCCUGCUCUGAAACUGACGCACAAACACAUGGCGUGUAUUUGGAGAGAGAUCGUGUCCAGCAGCAGAGUCUGAUUCAGCUCUUUCUGUCAAUAUAACGACUUCAUGCAACUCAUCCUGAACAAACACAUGAAUAAUUGGACCCACGCAGCCUUAAAUCUGUUACCAUAUGGCAAACAUUUACUCUGCCAUUACUAUGCAUUUGUUGGCUUACAUAAGAUUAUUUGGUAAACACUUAUGCUGACACUUAGCGCUGACACAAUGCUGCUGCUGUGGAGAACAACAGAUUCAACUUCUUGUUUUCUUCCCUCUCUCCCCGAAAUGAAAAAGAAAACAUGACCCGAGCCGAUC